Long non-coding RNA from Mus musculus (house mouse), 518 nucleotides. RefSeq annotates it as predicted gene, 51411. Lineage: Eukaryota; Metazoa; Chordata; Mammalia; Rodentia; Muridae. The transcript has 3 exons. The record is from RefSeq and is a predicted model, not a curated record.
CUUCUGAGGACUGUAUCAUUUUCCUGUAGCACCUUCUAGGACAAGCCUGUGUUCCACACCUAGCAGCUCAACAAAACUUUCCCUUCCUCUUGAAAAAUGCCCUUGGGUAGCUGUGAUGCCAGGCAUAGCCUUGACCUGCGGAGCAGCAGGUGGUGUCCUGGAGGCAGCCAACCGCAGCACCAUCCUUCCCAAGGGUACACUUUCUGCAACUUUGGUUUCUUUCAAUAUCAUGAGAUGAUGCUGAUGUCUGCUAGUGAACGCUGAUUCCAAUCAGUAUGUGCUUCACAUACUUAAAAGUGCUUUAUUAGCUGCCUGCACACCCAGGAUCAUGGCUCCUGAUUAAUUGACCUCUGUUUCCACAUCGCAUUCCUUUUCGUCUGGACGAUUCUUGUUCUGAGGUGUGUCCUAACUGACAGAUGGGAGGUUGUUCCUUAAGCCAGAGUUUGCCUCCUCUCCCAUUGUGAUCAUAUGAAUGACAGUGCUCCCCAACCCCAUAGCUAAUAUGUUUGAAUGCUUGG